Molecule: unclassified non-coding RNA, 300 nt
Filed under: uncultured fungus
Lineage: Eukaryota; Fungi
Description: sequence contains 5.8S rRNA gene, ITS2
Rfam family: 5.8S ribosomal RNA (bases 1-67)
Source: RNAcentral
GUGAAUCAUCGAAUCUUUGAACGCACAUUGCACUCUCCGCAAGGAGAGUAUGCCUGUUUGAGAAUCUAUAGUAUUUAUUUCUCUGGUAUUUAUACCACUGAAGAUCUGACUUAUCCGUUGGUUUACCAGCGGUGGGUUUAAAGCUAUUGCUCUGAACGGUAUCUCGAGUGUUUGACUCCGGUAGCCUGCUGAAAAGUGUUUGAAUGAGACCUUGGUUUCUUUGAUGCUUAGUACUCAGUGAUCGGAUUAGCUCAAGGUGAGUUUGGAGUCCAUAAAUAUAAAGGCAAGCGAACCGCCCUU